Long non-coding RNA from Triticum dicoccoides, 282 nucleotides. RefSeq lists it as uncharacterized. NCBI's taxonomy places the organism in Eukaryota, Viridiplantae, Streptophyta, Magnoliopsida, Poales, Poaceae. The transcript has 3 exons. The record is from RefSeq and is a predicted model, not a curated record.
GACCCCGAAGAGCAGAUCGGUGUCGUAGACGCGCAGUACUUGGUUCAUCAUGCCGUUCCCACGCUUGAAGGCCAGGGUGAGAAAGAAAAAGGAGGCCGUUUGCAGGUAAAAGCGCGUCAAUAUGAGGAGAUGUUUGCCUUUCGCUCUAGGGUUUCCCGUGCGGACAACGAAGUUGCCAACAGAACAUCAAUACAGAACUAGUUUGAGCGAUUACUUACCAGAGGAUACAAUAUGGAAGUCAAUAAUUAAAAGUUUUGACUUUUUGAAUAGAGAAGUAUAAGA